UACGUAGGUCCCGAGCGUUGUCCGGAUUUAUUGGGCGUAAGGCGAGCGCAGGUGGUUUAUUAAGUCUGGUGUAAAAGGCAGUGGCUCAACCAUUGUAUGCAUUGGAAACUGGUAGACUUGAGUGCGGGAGAGGAGAGUGGAAUUCCAUGUGUAGCGGUGAAAUGCGUAGAUAUAUGGAGGAACACCGGUGGCGAAAGCGGCUCUCUGGCCUGUAACUGACACUGAGGCUCGAAAGCGUGGGGAGCAAACAGG
Molecule: ribosomal RNA, 252 nt
Filed under: uncultured bacterium
Lineage: Bacteria
Description: partial 16S ribosomal RNA
Rfam family: Bacterial small subunit ribosomal RNA
Source: RNAcentral